Chryseobacterium takakiae is the source of this 68-nucleotide non-coding RNA. The record is from Rfam. NCBI's taxonomy places the organism in Bacteria, Pseudomonadati, Bacteroidota, Flavobacteriia, Flavobacteriales, Weeksellaceae.
UAAUAGCCCCGAUUGCAAUGAAAAUCCUUUUUUGCAAAAAAAGAUUGUAAUGGAAAGCGAGAAAAGCU